RNAcentral lists this ribosomal RNA (500 nucleotides) under uncultured bacterium. RNAcentral describes it as "partial 16S ribosomal RNA". It matches the Rfam family "Bacterial small subunit ribosomal RNA", at positions 28 to 523 of the family's 1533-position model. The record is from RNAcentral.
GACGAACGCUGGCGGCGUGCCUAAUACAUGCAAGUCGAGCGAGACUCUUCGGAGUCUAGCGGCGGACGGGUGAGUAACACGUGGGCAACCUGCCUGUAAGACUGGGAUAACACCGGGAAACCGGUGCUAAUACCGGAUAAUCCUUUUUCUCUCCUGAGGAAAAGCUGAAAGUCGGUUUCGGCUGACACUUACAGAUGGGCGCGCGGCACAUUAGCUAGUUGGUGAGGUAACGGCUCACCAAGGCUACGAUGCGUAGCCGACCUGAGAGGGUGAUCGGCCACACUGGGACUGAGAAACGGCCCAGACUCCUACGGGAGGCAGCAGUAGGGAAUCUUCCACAAUGGACGAAAGUCUGAUGGAGCAACGCCGCGUGAGCGAUGAAGGCCUUCGGGUCGUAAAGCUCUGUUGUUAGGGAAGAACAAGUACCGGAGUAACUGCCGGUACCUUGACGGUACCUAACCAGAAAGCCACGGCUAACUACGUGCCAGCCGCCGCGGUAA